Cyprinus carpio (common carp) is the source of this 848-nucleotide long non-coding RNA. Lineage: Eukaryota; Metazoa; Chordata; Actinopteri; Cypriniformes; Cyprinidae. The record is from Ensembl.
CAUGAGUUGAGGAAUAAGGGAAUUCCCCUCUGUCUUCCAUCCCAUGGUUUCAGGGGGUGGCAGAACUGGCUGCUGCAAGCGGGCCUGCCGCCAGAUCAAAACCUGGAAGUGAGAGCGCUGAAUGUGGAAGUAGAGAGCGUCUCUGGUUGGGGGCAGUCUUUCUAUUGUCAUGGCCUUGACAAACAUGCUUGCUCGAACUUCAUUGAUGUUAUCAGCAUCCUUUACACCAUAGAGUUUGCAGAAAAACUGUUCUGCAUUCUGAAUGGUGUGGUCACUCAGUUAAGGACCUUUGCCAAGCCCCGAUAGUAGAUGUGAAUACUCUAUGAAAACUUCCCAGCAUGUCUUCUUUGAAUGUCCUACAAUGUAUGAAGUUGAGUUACUCCCAGUGAGAGCAUGGAAACCAGGAAGUAGCUCGAGGACCUGUGGCUCCAUCUGCAGUUGUUCCACUACAGCAUGAACUGGGACGUACUUUCUCUCCUUUGCUGUACUUGUCUUUAUCCAGAUCUUUUGGCAUGGCAUCAUGUGGAAGUGGGCAAUCAGCAGUACCAAGAUGUCGGUGUCUCUUGCAGAGACCAUUUUUGAUGCUUUGCUUCUGAUGCAGUGAAGGAUAAUUCUUGUGUCUGCUUCUUAAUGUUUAGCUUCCAAGCUGUCAGUGUUAAGGGUUGUAUUAGAUGCUUCAACCCUCUCUUCAUCGCUGAAGCCACCUGCAGCAACUAUAAUCUUGGUGUCUGGUGCUCUCACAAUCAGCUGUUGUGAUAGAAAGUGAGCAAGGUCUGCCUUGUUGUCUUUGUGAGCGAUAAAGUUCUCCCAUUUUGUGGGAAGAGGUAAAUCUCUGCCCUCAACUGGUC